GUAGUACUCCUUCCGUCCUAAAUUACUUGUCGUAUAAAUGGAUAGAAAUGAAUGUAUCUAAAACAAAAAAUACAUCUAGAUACAUCCAUUUCUGCGACAAGUAAUUCCGGAUGGAGCGAGUAAUAU
Non-coding RNA from Hordeum vulgare subsp. vulgare (domesticated barley), 126 nucleotides. The record is from Rfam. Lineage: Eukaryota; Viridiplantae; Streptophyta; Magnoliopsida; Poales; Poaceae.